CCUGGCCAUGCUGGUCAGUGCAGGGGCAGGCACUGUGUCCUCAUUUUUCUUCCUCAUCCAGAGCUCAGCCCUGAGCAGCCCAUCUUAGGCUCAGGGCAUCUCUGAUUAUACAGCCUGUAAACAUCUGCUCCAGCUCAGGUGAGGAAAGGACCCUCCUCAGCUAAUCCUGGGUCCUACUCAGGGUGUGAUCCAGGGUUGGGGUGGUGAGGGGGCUCCUGUACAGUGCAAUGUGACCCCUUCCUUGCUCCUGCUGCCCUGCUCCUGUCAAGCACAGGGUGGCUGGGCCCAGAUCUUUACAUCUGUAUGCAAAUAUGGCCCCUGCUGAGAAUCCCUCUAGGACCUGGAUAUUGGUCUUCCUUUUUCGAAUGCCCAGGCCUCCGGGAGUGACAGGCAUUUAUGCCUGUGCUUGGGACCGGCCUGUUACGUGACUUUCAGCAGACCGUAUUGUAGAGCAGGAGGGAGAGGCUCAUCUUCCUCAGCAUUUCAUCUCUGAGGGCAGCGCUCCUCUGUCACGCCCUUCCACCCUAGGCUGAGAUCUCUGAAACCACGAGCCAGAAUGAGUCCUUCUCCUUCUAAGUUGUUCCUGUCAGGUAUGUCGGUCAUAGCAACAACAAGGUGACCAGCAAACCUUCCCUAUUACAGACAAAAAGCAAGCAAACAGAAUACACUUUCAGCUGUAGGAUGCUAUUCUACAACCAAUUUUUCUAGUGAAUAUUUUAAUUUUCAUCCAUAGAUUCAAAGAGUUAUUCAAUUACCCAUUGGACUGAUUUGAAUGGACCCCUCCAGUGUGAUGUGUCACUCUACAGAGUAUAAUAGGAUGUCACCAGAUCUUGCCCAUUGACCUGGGGAGGAAAAAUAAGAGAGGUAGAAGGUAGAAGCAGCGAGUCAAGAAUGUAAGGGAGGAGCUAGAAUAAAGAGAUGCAAAACAAAGAGAGCAGUUGAAGUUAGGGUAACGGAGUUCACUGAUGGAGAUUCGCCACAAUGCGCUGUCACUGUCCCAGAGGUGGCAGGUGGGCCAGGGCGGAGAAGAUGUGGCCCAGGGCAUCUGGUCUUUUUUUUUCCCUAUAAGUUGGUCCAGAUUUAUUGAAAUCUGUCACAGAAGACACAAUUCAAAUAAGAGUCAC
Molecule: long non-coding RNA, 1124 nt
Filed under: Marmota monax (woodchuck)
Lineage: Eukaryota; Metazoa; Chordata; Mammalia; Rodentia; Sciuridae
Source: RNAcentral